AGGAACAAGUUUUAUCAGCAUUUUCCCUAAUUUGUGGUAAUUUGUCAGCUCAAAAAGAGGUUUUUGAAGUAAACUGUCAUUUCUGAUCAUUACAACGUUAUCAUCAACUAAUCUGCUAACGUUGAAGUGCUUCAUUUUUACUGGCAACUAUGGGAUGUUGCAUUUGCUUUUGGGUUUGUUACUUAAUUAAGCAGGGAAGGGGCUAAUAAUAUUCAUAUAUGCGCAUACUUCUGUAUUGUUUUGUAUUGAAAUCAAUCAUUAUUACGAAUUGUACAAUAUUAAUAUAUAAAUAUAGCGCCCUUAUUUAUCAA
This is a long non-coding RNA of Xenia sp. Carnegie-2017, 311 nucleotides long. RefSeq lists it as uncharacterized. The record is from RefSeq and is a predicted model, not a curated record. The transcript has 2 exons. Lineage: Eukaryota; Metazoa; Cnidaria; Anthozoa; Malacalcyonacea; Xeniidae.